This 454-nucleotide ribosomal RNA is filed under the name uncultured bacterium. RNAcentral describes it as "partial 16S ribosomal RNA". It matches the Rfam family "Bacterial small subunit ribosomal RNA", at positions 28 to 507 of the family's 1533-position model. The record is from RNAcentral.
GAUGAACGCUGACAGAAUGCUUAACACAUGCAAGUCUACUUGAACUUCGGUUUGGGUGGCGGACGGGUGAGUAACGCGUAAAGAACUUGCCUCACAGAUAGGGACACCAUUUGGAAACGAAUGCUAAUACCUGAUAUUAUGAUUUUAGGGCAUCCUAGCAUUAUGAAAGCUAUAUGCACUGUGAGAGAGCUUUGCGUCCCAUUAGCUAGUUGGAGAGGUAACGGCUCACCAAGGCGAUGAUGGGUAGCCGGCCUGGGGGGGUGAUCGGCCACAAGGGGACUAGGACACGGCCCGUACUCCUACGGGGGGCGGCAGUGGGGAAUAUUGGACAAGGGACCAAGAGUCUGAUCCAGAAAUUCUGUGUGCAAGAUGAAGUUUUGCGGAAUGUAAAGUGCUUGCAGGUGGGAAGAAAAAAAUGACGGUACCAACAGAAGAAGUAACGGCUAAAUACGUG